Unclassified non-coding RNA from Bradysia coprophila, 2725 nucleotides. The record is from RefSeq and is a predicted model, not a curated record. NCBI's taxonomy places the organism in Eukaryota, Metazoa, Arthropoda, Insecta, Diptera, Sciaridae.
AACACACUCGAAACAAUUGAACUCAUUCCUUUUAAUCCGUUCAGUUGAUGAUAAAUCUCUGAUCCAUCCGAUCAUUUUCUCGUCUCUAAAUUUUUAUAAAAAUGGUACAGAAGUGUUAAGAGUCUGCGUUACCAACACACCCAACUGAUUUUGACAAGAUCAAAAAUCGCUUUUUUGUUUAUUUAUAAUUUUUUUUUUGUUUUUGUUAUUUAAAUGAAAGUGAUCUAAGCACAAAAUCAAAGAAAAUGAAUCGCAAGCGAUCCCGCUUGGAAAAUAUGUUCCCCAUCGAGGUCCAUCGCGCGGACGAAGACAGAGCAAAUUAUGUUUUGCGAGAAGAAAUUGAUCCGGAACAAAAUACAUCACGACAGUCAAUUGAUAAUCUGAGGACCUUCCGAUCGAAUUCUUCAGAGUCAAACUCACAUCAAAAUGUGAUGAAUUCGCAGGGGAAUAUGAGACGUUGGUCGCAAACGUAUUUACCGAAAGGAGCAAAAAAUGGUAAAAGAACAGUUCGACAAAAGACCAUUAACUUUAUGCCGUCACGAAUGCAAGGCGCAUUAGGUAUUGACGUUCACCGUGAUCACGAUUUAGAAAUCGAUCAACUAACUCAAGAGAUUGAGAAACAUGAACAUCUGAUGGAAGACACUGCCUAUUCGGAACAACUGAGAAUAGACACGCUCAAAGCACUACCACAAUCGUUGACCAUUAAGCGUCAAAUAAAAUCGAAACUGACCAAAACCGUUACAGAUAACGCCAGAGCGAAAUCAAUCAGUCGUCACACUAAAAUUAAAUACAAAGUGACCAUGAAGGUCAAACGAACGAAACAGCGAAUUAUGAGCACCCUAAACAGUAUCGAAUUGUGGUACGGUUCAAUGAAAGAAAUUGAGGGACGAUUUGGCAGCGGUGUUGGAACUUAUUUUAAAUUUUUGCGUUGGCUGUUCGGUUUGAAUCUGUCGCUAUGCGUUAUUGCCGUAGGGUUCAUUGUUGUUCCACAAAUUCUAUUCAAUGCUUCAGCCGGCAGUGAGAACGAUGAGGUCUUCAAUUUUGCUGAUCUGUUUACGGCGCAGGGAAUGCUUAGAAAGUCAAUACUGUUCUAUGGCUCCUAUAGCAAUCUAACGAUCAAUUUGAUUGGCAAUAAUUAUUACAACGUGCCAUACGCUUACUUUAUGACCAUGAUCCUGUUGUACGUGUUCACGUUCACAGUUAUUUCCGUUGGCAUGGCUCGAUCGUAUCGACGUAGUUUCAUAGAAACCUCGGGUGGCGUUCAGAAUAUCUUUGCGCACAAAAUUUUCUGUUGCUGGGACUUUGGUAUUUCAAAUAAAAAGUCGGCUGCAUUGAAACAUCAGUCCAUUUUCAAUGAUCUGCAGGAGACGCUCAACGAAUUCUAUCACACGCCGGAAAAGCCCACCAAAUUACAAUCGAUUUAUAUAAUUUUGGGUCAAAUUACGGCUCACGUUUUGGUAUUAGUAAUGCUAGCCGGAUUAGGAGUUGGAAUGUGGGCUGCGUUGAAUGCCAUUGGUGAUAGCAGUACGUCUACGGACAUUUCAACGCUGUACGUGUCGUUCGGAAUAACGUUCACAAUUCUGAUUUUACAAUUGUUUUUCACGUGGAUUGCAAAAAUGGAAGAUUACAAAUCGUCCAGGACAGCCCUUCAUGUGACACUGUUGCGAAACUAUUUGCUGGAUUUGGUGAUCAUUGGAGUUCUUGUAGUAUUUUGGUUAACCAAAAAUUUGACUGGAUGUUGGGAAACAUCAAUUGGCCAAGAAAUUUAUCGCUUGGUUGUCGUUGACUUUAUAGUAUUCAGUUUGGGCGGUGCAAUUAUUUACUUGAUAAGAUUUUUAAUUUACAAAUUCGUUUGGUCGUCUGUAGAUCUUCCAGAAUUCGAUUUGUCAAUGGGCAGUUUGAGUUUGAUAUUCAAUCAGAGUUUGCUAUGGAUCGGUUUACUAUUUUCGCCACUCCUAGCAGGUGUGGUUUCCAUCAAAAUGUUUUUAACAUUUUACAUCAAAGUAAGAAAAAACGGUUCUGAUUUACUGCUGCAAGCCACCAGCCAAAUUCUACCGCUCAGCACAAACGUCGACACUGUUUUUGGUGAUGACAUUCCUCUCCCUUUUGGGCAUCGUUGUUGCACAUGGCUACAUCAUCACUCAAGUCGCCGUUAGCGAGCAGUGCGGUCCGUUCCGAGAUCAUGGAUUCAUGUUUCAAGUGUUUAUUGAAGGAAUGCUUGAAUUGAGAGACGGUCAUUGGUUCUGGCGGUUAAUUUUAAUUGUCACCAAACCGGCCGUUAUCGGUGGAAUAUUGCUAUUGAUGUGCGUAAUCGUCUACUAUUUAAGAUCCAAGUCUAGGGCGCGUAUAGCUAUGGUAAAAUUACUGAAGGAAAUGCUGCAAUUAGAAGCCAAAGACAAAGAAUUUUUACUGUCAAACAUAACUCGUAUCACCGAGGGUAAAGACUGGCUCUACGAUCACAUUAACUUCGAAGAUUCCGACAACAGUCUGACCUGGAAGUACAAAGACAAAUACAAUGCUCACGACGUGGAUAGCAAUCGGAACUAUCAAAGCUCAUCACAGGAUCAAAACAUCCGCAACCGACGAUAUUAGUUUUUUAGUAUGGGGCGAAGCAAUUUAUUGGAUCAGUAUUAAACGUUUUACUUUAUUUGAAUUUAUUUUAACAAAUUUACUUUAUUCAAAUAAAGACAUGAAUUUACAGCUUUAUCAACCAGUGUUACUAGCA